This 253-nucleotide ribosomal RNA is filed under the name uncultured prokaryote. Its description in RNAcentral is "partial 16S ribosomal RNA". It matches the Rfam family "Bacterial small subunit ribosomal RNA", at positions 524 to 776 of the family's 1533-position model. The record is from RNAcentral.
UACGGAGGGUGCGAGCGUUAAUCGGAAUUACUGGGCGUAAAGAGUGCGUAGGUGGUUGAAUAAGUUAUCUGUGAAAUCCCUGGGCUUAACCUGGGCAGGUCAGAUGAUACUGUUUAACUCGAGUAUGGGAGAGGGUAGUGGAAUUUCCGGUGUAGCGGUGAAAUGCGUAGAGAUCGGGAGGAACACCAGUGGCGAAGGCGGCUACCUGGCCUAAUACUGACACUGAGGCACGAAAGCGUGGGGAGCAAACAGG